UACGUAGGUGGCAAGCGUUGUCCGGAAUUAUUGGGCGUAAAGAGCUCGUAGGCGGUCUGUCACGUCUGCUGUGAAAACUCGGGGCUUAACCCCGGGCCUGCAGUGGGUACGGGCAGACUAGAGUGCGGUAGGGGAGACUGGAAUUCCUGGUGUAGCGGUGAAAUGCGCAGAUAUCAGGAGGAACACCGGUGGCGAAGGCGGGUCUCUGGGCCGUAACUGACGCUGAGGAGCGAAAGCGUGGGGAGCGAACAGG
This 253-nucleotide ribosomal RNA is filed under the name uncultured bacterium. Its description in RNAcentral is "partial 16S ribosomal RNA". It matches the Rfam family "Bacterial small subunit ribosomal RNA", at positions 524 to 776 of the family's 1533-position model. The record is from RNAcentral.